Long non-coding RNA from Anguilla anguilla (European eel), 669 nucleotides. RefSeq lists it as uncharacterized. The transcript is spliced from 3 exons. The record is from RefSeq and is a predicted model, not a curated record. NCBI's taxonomy places the organism in Eukaryota, Metazoa, Chordata, Actinopteri, Anguilliformes, Anguillidae.
AGUUCGGCCUGUGAUUCCAAUUUGGAGCCUGUCAGAGGAGAGGGAUGGAUAGAGGGAGCUGGGAGCUGCGUGUGUGUGGAAAGGGCAGGUGAGACGUGACAGUCGCCCGAGGACCAAUGGAGAAAACGGAAGCCGGAAUAAUUGCGUAACACCGGUGAUAGGAGAUAAAAGGCCCGGGUGCGGACAACUUCGAUGAGCUCAUUUCGAAAGAGAUAUUCCCUCGCGGUGAAUUGCUCCUUCCUUAAGGAGGUGAUACGGCAACUUAAAUCCCGUGUGCACCAGGGAGGUACUGUAUGACAGCUCAUCACUGGCUCUGGAGAAAUGAGCGGUUGUCUCUGUUGCCCAGGUCAGCUCCACGCUGGGAUGUUAUGAAGGAACGAAACCAAUUCCGGAUGGUCCAUCAUCCGGAGUUCCUCUUAAUUUUGCUUGGCAGCAAAGGGGAUUCAGACCCACGGCUCCUCCACCAGGAAAAUGAAAGCAACUCAGCCUCAGCCUCUGAGAAGGGCAGACCAUAGAAGUGGCACGUCCAAGAUCUAAACAAAGAAGAACAAUGGGAGCUUGUGUUUAUGAAUGUCACGGAUUUCAAAGGUUCUCGUAAUGAGAGAAAAUGACCACCAUUCUCCUCCAGCCCCAUUAAAGCUGGUUACUUUGAGGCUCUUAUGUUUCCCC